GUCUGGAUAUGGUGAGCUGUUAAGUGGGGACCCAGAGAGGACAUUUCUCUCAGGGCUGCACAGGGCCACUGAGCCCAAAACACCUUGUAUGAUGCAAGCACAGCACACACGUUGUUGUCCCACAGAGAAUAAGAACACACUGCGUUUGGGCACAGAGGGUCAGCGAUGUCUUCAGAGCAGAUGCAACGUGACCAGCUACCUCAAGAUCUUGUCAUCGAGUCCCACCGUGACUGAUGGUCCCUCAAACU
Molecule: non-coding RNA, 248 nt
Organism: Peromyscus maniculatus bairdii (prairie deer mouse)
Lineage: Eukaryota; Metazoa; Chordata; Mammalia; Rodentia; Cricetidae
Source: RefSeq, a predicted model, not a curated record